Molecule: ribosomal RNA, 254 nt
Filed under: uncultured bacterium
Lineage: Bacteria
Description: partial 16S ribosomal RNA
Rfam family: Bacterial small subunit ribosomal RNA
Source: RNAcentral
UACGUAGGGGGCAAGCGUUGUCCGGAUUUAUUGGGCGUAAAGAGCUCGUAGGUGGUUCGGUAAGUCGGAUGUGAAAUCUCCAGGCUCAACCUGGAGGGGUCAUUCGAUACUGCCGUGACUAGAGUUCGGUAGGGGAGUGUGGAAUUCCUGGUGUAGCGGUGAAAUGCGCAGAUAUCAGGAAGAACACCCGUGGCGAAAGCGGCUCUCUGGAACGGUACUGACGCUGAGACGCGAAAGCGUGGGGAGCGAACAGG